UGGGGAAUUUUGGACAAUGGGCGAAAGCCUGAUCCAGCAAUGCCGCGUGUGUGAAGAAGGCCUUCGGGUUGUAAAGCACUUUUGUCCGGAAAGAAAACGCCGUGGUUAAUACCCGUGGCGGAUGACGGUACCGGAAGAAUAAGCACCGGCUAACUACGUGCCAGCAGCCGCGGUAAUACGUAGGGUGCAAGCGUUAAUCGGAAUUACUGGGCGUAAAGCGUGCGCAGGCGGUCCGCUAAGACAGAUGUGAAAUCCCCGGGCUUAACCUGGGAACUGCAUUUGUGACUGGCGGGCUAGAGUAUGGCAGAGGGGGGUAGAAUUCCACGUGUAGCAGUGAAAUGCGUAGAGAUGUGGAGGAAUACCGAUGGCGAAGGCAGCCCCCUGGGCCAAUACUGACGCUCAUGCACGAAAGCGUGGGGGAGCAAACAGGAUUAGAUACCCUGGUAGUCCACGCCCUAAACGAUGUCAAACUAGGUUGUCGGGUCUUCAUUGACUUGGUAACGUAGCUAACGCGU
This 515-nucleotide ribosomal RNA is filed under the name uncultured bacterium. RNAcentral's name for it is "partial 16S ribosomal RNA". It matches the Rfam family "Bacterial small subunit ribosomal RNA", at positions 355 to 860 of the family's 1533-position model. The record is from RNAcentral.